AAGACCUUGCGCUUUUGGAGCGGCCGAUGUCUGAUUAGCUAGUUGGUGGGGUAAAGGCCUACCAAAGCUUCGAUCAGUAGCUGGUCUGAGAGGACGACCAGCCACACUGGGACUGAGACACGGCCCAGACUCCUACGGGAGGCAGCAGUGGGGAAUUUUGGACAAUGGGCGCAAGCCUGAUCCAGCCAUGCCGCGUGAGUGAAGAAGGCCUUCGGGUUGUAAAGCUCUUUCAGCCGGGAAGAAAAGYCCGCGACUAAUAAUCGCGGUUCAUGACGGUACCGGAAGAAGAAGCACCGGCUAACUACGUGCCAGCAGCCGCGGUAAUACGUAGGGUGCGAGCGUUAAUCGGAAUUACUGGGCGUAAAGGGUGCGCAGGCGGURUUGUAAGUCAGAUGUGAAAUCCCCGGGCUUAACCUGGGAACU
RNAcentral lists this ribosomal RNA (423 nucleotides) under uncultured bacterium. Its description in RNAcentral is "bacterial SSU rRNA". It matches the Rfam family "Bacterial small subunit ribosomal RNA", at positions 207 to 622 of the family's 1533-position model. The record is from RNAcentral.